UACGUAGGGGGCGAGCGUUGUCCGGAAUUACUGGGCGUAAAGGGUGCGUAGGUGGCCUUUUAAGUUGGAUGUGAAAUACCCGGGCUUAACUUGGGGGGUGCAUCCAAAACUGGGAGGCUAGAGUGCAGGAGAGGAAAGCGGAAUUCCUAGUGUAGCGGUGAAAUGCGUAGAUAUUAGGAGGAACACCAGUGGCGAAGGCGGCUUUCUGGACUGUAACUGACGCUGAGGCACGAAAGCGUGGGGAGCAAACAGG
RNAcentral lists this ribosomal RNA (253 nucleotides) under uncultured bacterium. RNAcentral describes it as "partial 16S ribosomal RNA". It matches the Rfam family "Bacterial small subunit ribosomal RNA", at positions 524 to 776 of the family's 1533-position model. The record is from RNAcentral.